UAAGCGUGAACGAAGUGAGUGCUCACAUUUGCGAACCAGUAGCGAAGUUGGACUUUUAUAUUGUUCUGGGCCAUAAUUCAGUAAAAAGCCUGUUCUUUUCUAUGAUGAAGCUUCUGGAUGCGAAUACUGUCAUCUCCAGGAGGGUUCUAUAGGACUGAUUCCAUCAUUGCUUGCUUUACAGUAUUCCUGUGCAGAACCCUAUCGAGAAAAAAACAAAGAAAAUGGACCCAAAACAAAACAAGUUUUGCAGUGAG
Pantherophis guttatus is the source of this 254-nucleotide long non-coding RNA. RefSeq lists it as uncharacterized. NCBI's taxonomy places the organism in Eukaryota, Metazoa, Chordata, Lepidosauria, Squamata, Colubridae. The record is from RefSeq and is a predicted model, not a curated record.